CAGGUGCUGCAUGGCUGUCGUCAGCUCGUGUCGUGAGAUGUUGGGUUAAGUCCCGCAACGAGCGCAACCCUUAUCCCCAGUUGCCAUCAGGUAAAGCUGGGAACUCUGGGGAGACUGCCGGUGAUAAACCGGAGGAAGGCGGGGAUGACGUCAAGUCCUCAUGGCCCUUACAUCCCGGGCUACACACGUGCUACAAUGGCAGGUACAGAGGGCUGCGAAGCCGCGAGGUGGAGCGAAUCCCAGAAAACCUGUCUCAGUCCGGAUUGAAGUCUGCAACUCGACUUCAUGAAGGCGGAAUCGCUAGUAACCGCGAAUCAGCAGGUCGCGGUGAAUACGUUCCCGGGCCUU
Molecule: ribosomal RNA, 348 nt
Filed under: uncultured Latescibacterota bacterium
Lineage: Bacteria; Pseudomonadati; Candidatus Latescibacterota
Description: bacterial SSU rRNA
Rfam family: Bacterial small subunit ribosomal RNA
Source: RNAcentral